This 75-nucleotide transfer RNA is filed under the name Chloroflexota bacterium. RNAcentral describes it as "Chloroflexi bacterium (groundwater metagenome) tRNA-Arg". Lineage: Bacteria; Bacillati; Chloroflexota. The record is from RNAcentral.
GCCCCAGUAGCUCAACAUGGAGAGAGCGUCCGAGUCCUAAUCGGCAGGUUAGGGGUCCGAGUCCCCUCUGGGGCU